Molecule: long non-coding RNA, 312 nt
Filed under: Fukomys damarensis (Damara mole-rat)
Lineage: Eukaryota; Metazoa; Chordata; Mammalia; Rodentia; Bathyergidae
Description: lncRNA (ENSFDAG00000023727.1)
Source: RNAcentral
GAAUUAACAGCCUUGGUGCAGUUUGAUAUCAGUGACUCAAUGGUCCUUUGGGAACUUACCCAGACAGCACCAUGAGCUGUGACAAAGCGUGCCGAACUAGUUUAUGUGACAAGUGAAGCAUGCAAAGAAGGGAAGGAGGAGGGAAAAUUUGAAAGAGAAUUUAGUGCAGAAGACCUUCAAAUAAUCAUAAUAAUCGUGGAGUGGUAGCUGAUGAAUUCAUCAUAAGGUUCAAAUAUAGUAAGUCGAAAAUGGAUUUAAUGUAUUUAACCUACAUAGCAUCAUAGUUUAAUAACAGUACAUUAUAGAGCAGGG